AUUGAACGCUAGCGGGAUGCUUUACACAUGCAAGUCGAGCGGCAGCGCGGACUUCUGUCUGGCGUCGAGUUGCCAACGGGUGAGUAAUGUAUCCGAACGUGCCCAGUAUCUGGGGAUAACUACGCUAAAGCGUAGCUAAUACCGCAUACGCCCUACUGUGGAAAGGAAUGGAUCGUAAGACCUUGCACUAUUGGAGCGGCCGUUAUCGGAUUAGCUAGUUGGUUAGGUAACGGCUCACCAAGGCGACGAUCCGUAGCUGGUUUGAGAGGACGACCAGCCACACUGGAACUGAGACACGGCCCAGACUCCUACGGGAGGCAGCAGUGGGGAAUUUUGGACAAUGGGGGCAACCCUGAUCCAGCCAUGCCGCGUGUGCGAUGAAGGCCUUCGGGUUGUAAAGCACUUUUGGCAGGAAAGAAACGACGCGGGCUAAUACCCCGAGGAACUGACGGUACCUGCAGAAUAAGCACCGGCUAACUACGUG
This 484-nucleotide ribosomal RNA is filed under the name uncultured bacterium. RNAcentral's name for it is "partial 16S ribosomal RNA". It matches the Rfam family "Bacterial small subunit ribosomal RNA", at positions 30 to 507 of the family's 1533-position model. The record is from RNAcentral.